GUUGCAGGGUAUAGACCCGAAACCCGGUGAUCUAGCCAUGGGCAGGUUGAAGGUUGGGUAACACUAACUGGAGGACCGAACCGACUAAUGUUGAAAAAUUAGCGGAUGACCUGUGGCUGGGGGUGAAAGGCCAAUCAAACCGGGAGAUAGCUGGUUCUCCCCGAAAGCUAUUUAGGUAGCGCCUCGUGAACUCAUCUCCGGGGGUAGAGCACUGUUUCGGCUAGGGGGCCAUCCCGGCUUACCAACCCGAUGCAAACUGCGAAUACCGGAGAAUGUUAUCACGGGAGACACACGGCGGGUGCUAACGUCCGUCGUGAAGAGGGAAACAACCCAGACCGCCAGCUAAGGUCCCAAAGUCAUGGUUAAGUGGGAAACGAUGUGGGAAGGCCCAGACAGCCAGGAUGUUGGCUUAGAAGCAGCCAUCAUUUAAAGAAAGCGUAAUAGCUCACUGGUCGAGUCGGCCUGCGCGGAAGAUGUAACGGGGCUAAACCAUGCACCGAAGCUGCGGCAGCGACACUCAGGUGUUGUUGGGUAGGGGAGCGUUCUGUAAGCCUGCGAAGGUGGCCUGUGAGGGUUGCUGGAGGUAUCAGAAGUGCGAAUGCUGACAUAAGUAACGAUAAAGCGGGUGAAAAGCCCGCUCGCCGGAAGACCAAGGGUUCCUGUCCAACGUUAAUCGGGGCAGGGUGAGUCGACCCCUAAGGCGAGGCCGAAAGGCGUAGUCGAUGGGAAACGGGUUAAUAUUCCCGUACUUGGUGUUACUGCGAAGGGGGGACGGAGAAGGCUAUGUUGGCCGGGCGACGGUUGUCCCGGUUUAAGCGUGUAGGUGUGUGUUCCAGGUAAAUCCGGUUCACUUUAACACUGAGGCGUGAUGACGAGGCACUACGGUGCUGAAGCAACAAAUGCCCUGCUUCCAGGAAAAGCCUCUAAGCAUCAGGUAACAUCAAAUCGUACCCCAAACCGACACAGGUGGUCAGGUAGAGAAUACCAAGGCGCUUGAGAGAACUCGGGUGAAGGAACUAGGCAAAAUGGUGCCGUAACUUCGGGAGAAGGCACGCUGACACGUAGGUGAAGUGAUUUACUCAUGGAGCUGAAGUCAGUCGAAGAUACCAGCUGGCUGCAACUGUUUAUUAAAAACACAGCACUGUGCAAACACGAAAGUGGACGUAUACGGUGUGACGCCUGCCCGGUGCCGGAAGGUUAAUUGAUGGGGUCAGCGCAAGCGAAGCUCCUGAUCGAAGCCCCGGUAAACGGCGGCCGUAACUAUAACGGUCCUAAGGUAGCGAAAUUCCUUGUCGGGUAAGUUCCGACCUGCACGAAUGGCGUAAUGAUGGCCAGGCUGUCUCCACCCGAGACUCAGUGAAAUUGAACUCGCUGUGAAGAUGCAGUGUACCCGCGGCAAGACGGAAAGACCCCGUGAACCUUUACUAUAGCUUGACACUGAACAUUGAGCCUUGAUGUGUAGGAUAGGUGGGAGGCUUUGAAGUGUGGACGCCAGUCUGCAUGGAGCCGGCCUUGAAAUACCACCCUUUAAUGUUUGAUGUUCUAACGUGGACCCGUGAUCCGGGUUGCGGACAGUGUCUGGUGGGUAGUUUGACUGGGGCGGUCUCCUCCUAAAGAGUAACGGAGGAGCACGAAGGUUGGCUAAUCCUGGUCGGACAUCAGGAGGUUAGUGCAAUGGCAUAAGCCAGCUUGACUGCGAGCGUGACGGCGCGAGCAGGUGCGAAAGCAGGUCAUAGUGAUCCGGUGGUUCUGAAUGGAAGGGCCAUCGCUCAACGGAUAAAAGGUACUCCGGGGAUAACAGGCUGAUACCGCCCAAGAGUUCAUAUCGACGGCGGUGUUUGGCACCUCGAUGUCGGCUCAUCACAUCCUGGGGCUGAAGUAGGUCCCAAGGGUAUGGCUGUUCGCCAUUUAAAGUGGUACGCGAGCUGGGUUUAGAACGUCGUGAGACAGUUCGGUCCCUAUCUGCCGUGGGCGCUGGAGAACUGAGGGGGGCUGCUCCUAGUACGAGAGGACCGGAGUGGACGCAUCACUGGUGUUCGGGUUGUCAUGCCAAUGGCACUGCCCGGUAGCUAAAUGCGGAAGAGAUAAGUGCUGAAAGCAUCUAAGCACGAAACUUGCCCCGAGAUGAGUUCUCCCUGAGACUUUAGGUCUCCUGAAGGAACGUUGAAGACGACGACGUUGAUAGGCCGGGUGUGUAAGCGCAGCGAUGCGUUGAGCUAACCGGUACUAAUGAACCGUGAGGCUUAACCUUACA
This 2254-nucleotide ribosomal RNA is filed under the name Salmonella enterica. Its description in RNAcentral is "partial 23S ribosomal RNA". It matches the Rfam family "Bacterial large subunit ribosomal RNA", at positions 699 to 2925 of the family's 2925-position model. Lineage: Bacteria; Pseudomonadati; Pseudomonadota; Gammaproteobacteria; Enterobacterales; Enterobacteriaceae. The record is from RNAcentral.